This 433-nucleotide ribosomal RNA is filed under the name uncultured bacterium. Its description in RNAcentral is "partial 16S ribosomal RNA". It matches the Rfam family "Bacterial small subunit ribosomal RNA", at positions 29 to 507 of the family's 1533-position model. The record is from RNAcentral.
AACGAACGCUGGCGGCAGGCCUAACACAUGCAAGUCGAGCGGACCCUUCGGGGUUAGCGGCGGACGGGUGAGUAACGCGUGGGAAUAUGCCCUUCUCUACGGAAUAGUCCUGGGAAACUGGGGGUAAUACCGUAUACGCCCUUUGUGGGAAAGAUUUAUCGGGGAAGGAUUAGCCCGCGUUGGAUUAGGUAGUUGGUGGGGUAAUGGCCUACCAAGCCGACGAUCCAUAGCUGGUUUGAGAGGAUGAUCAGCCACACUGGGACUGAGACACGGCCCAGACUCCUACGGGAGGCAGCAGUGGGGAAUCUUAGACAAUGGGGGCAACCCUGAUCUAGCCAUGCCGCGUGAGUGAUGAAGGCCUUAGGGUUGUAAAGCUCUUUAAGCUGGGAAGAUAAUGACGGUACCAGAAGAAGAAGCCCCGGCUAACUCCGUG